GUUAAUCGGAAUUACUGGGCGUAAAGCGCACGCAGGCGGUCUGUCAAGUCGGAUGUGAAAUCCCCGGGCUCAACCUGGGAACUGCAUUCGAAACUGGCAGGCUUGAGUCUUGUAGAGGGGGGUAGAAUUCCAGGUGUAGCGGUGAAAUGCGUAGAGAUCUGGAGGAAUACCGGUGGCGAAGGCGGCCCCCUGGACAAAGACUGACGCUCAGGUGCGAAAGCGUGGGGAGCAAACAGGAUUAGAUACCCUGGUAGUCCACGCCGUAAACGAUGUCUACUUGGAGGUUGUGCCCUUGAGGCGUGGCUUCCGGAGCUAACGCGUUAAGUAGACCGCCUGGGGAGUACGGCCGCAAGGUUAAAACUCAAAUGAAUUGACGGGGGCCCGCACAAGCGGUGGAGCAUGUGGUUUAAUUCGAUGCAACGCGAAGAACCUUACCUGGUCUUGACAUCCACAGAACUUUCCAGAGAUGGAUUGGUGCCUUCGGGAACUGUGAGACAGGUGCU
Molecule: ribosomal RNA, 503 nt
Filed under: Salmonella enterica subsp. enterica serovar Midway
Lineage: Bacteria; Pseudomonadati; Pseudomonadota; Gammaproteobacteria; Enterobacterales; Enterobacteriaceae
Description: bacterial SSU rRNA
Rfam family: Bacterial small subunit ribosomal RNA
Source: RNAcentral